AAUUAGUGGCAUGACAGUGGUACGUGCAGGGUGGAUGGUGACCACGCCCUCAUCACAACAUUUCAGAAGGUGACAAGUGUUCCUUGUAAUUGAUACCUCAGUAUCUCCAUAGAUUGCCCUGUCACGUUGAGCCAUUCUCCCUUUAACACGUUCAAACCAUGAGGAAUCUAAACCUGACACCUAUGUGAAUCAUACCAUCACCA
RNAcentral lists this long non-coding RNA (203 nucleotides) under Vigna radiata. RNAcentral describes it as "long non-coding RNA (VRAD_LNC005735)". The record is from RNAcentral. Lineage: Eukaryota; Viridiplantae; Streptophyta; Magnoliopsida; Fabales; Fabaceae.